Molecule: ribosomal RNA, 285 nt
Filed under: uncultured bacterium
Lineage: Bacteria
Description: partial 16S ribosomal RNA
Rfam family: Bacterial small subunit ribosomal RNA
Source: RNAcentral
UCCUACGGGGGCAGCAGUGGGGAAUAUUGGACAAUGGGGGGAACCCUGAUCCAGCGACGCCGCGUGAGUGAAGAAGUAUUUCGGUAUGUAAAGCUCUAUCAGCAGGGAAGGAAGAAAUGACGGUGCCUGACUAAGAAGCCCCGGCUAACUACGUGCCAGCAGCCGCGGUAAUACGUAGGGGGCAAGCGUUAUCCGGAAUCACUGGGUGUAAAGGGAGCGUAGACGGCUGAGCAAGCCUGAAGUGAAAGGCGGGGGCCCAACCCCCGGACUGCUUUGGGAACUGUA